This 545-nucleotide ribosomal RNA is filed under the name Sordariomycetes sp. genotype 16. RNAcentral describes it as "eukaryotic LSU rRNA". The stretch from base 185 to 338 matches the Rfam family "5.8S ribosomal RNA". Lineage: Eukaryota; Fungi; Ascomycota; Sordariomycetes. The record is from RNAcentral.
CCUGCGGAGGGAUCAUUACAGAGUUCUAAAAGACUCCCAAAACCAUUGUGAACGUACCCGUCAGCGUUGCCUCGGCGGGCGGCCCCUCCCUGGGGCCGCUGCCUCCCUCGGGGGGUGCCCGCCGGCGUACCAAAACUCUUUUGUAUUUUAGUGGCCUCUCUGAGAAAACAAGCAAAUAAGUUAAAACUUUCAACAACGGAUCUCUUGGUUCUGGCAUCGAUGAAGAACGCAGCGAAAUGCGAUAAGUAAUGUGAAUUGCAGAAUUCAGUGAAUCAUCGAAUCUUUGAACGCACAUUGCGCCCGCCAGUACUCUGGCGGGCAUGCCUGUUCGAGCGUCAUUUCAACCCUCAAGCCCUGCUUGGUGUUGGGGUCCUACGGCUGCCGUAGGCCCUGAAAGCUAGUGGCGGGCUCGCUAUAACUCCGAGCGUAGUAGUAAAAUAUCUCGCUAGGGAGGUGUCGCGGGUUCCGGCCGUGAAAGCCCAUCUUUUACACAAGGUUGACCUCGGAUCAGGUAGGAAUACCCGCUGAACUUAAGCAUAUCAAUA